GGAGCGGCCGAUGCCUGAUUAGCUAGUUGGUGGGGUAAGAGCUUACCAAGGCUACGAUCAGUAGUUGGUCUGAGAGGACGACCAACCACACUGGGACUGAGACACGGCCCAGACUCCUACGGGAGGCAGCAGUGGGGAAUUUUGGACAAUGGGCGAAAGCCUGAUCCAGCCAUGCCGCGUGAGUGAAGAAGGCCUUCGGGUUGUAAAGCUCUUUCAGUCGGAAAGAAACGAUUGUGAUUAAUACUUGCAAUUAAUGACGGUACCGACAGAAGAAGCACCGGCUAACUACGUGCCAGCAGCCGCGGUAAUACGUAGGGUGCGAGCGUUAAUCGGAAUUACUGGGCGUAAAGGGUGCGCAGGCGGUUUUGUAAGUCAGAUGUGAAAUCCCCGGGCUUAACCUGGGAAUU
Molecule: ribosomal RNA, 407 nt
Filed under: uncultured beta proteobacterium
Lineage: Bacteria; Pseudomonadati; Pseudomonadota; Betaproteobacteria
Description: bacterial SSU rRNA
Rfam family: Bacterial small subunit ribosomal RNA
Source: RNAcentral